AAUCUCUUAAAACCGCUAGAAACCGCAACCGCCCGCAUCCACAAACUCCCGCAGCCGCAACCACAACCGCUGCGUUUGAACCAGUCAAACCCUAAAUGCAAUAUUAGAUUUUUUCUUAAUCAUCGACUCAUUUAACCUAAAAUAUAUUACUAUAAAAAAAGAUCGGUUUUCACCAUUGGUUGAGCACAUCAUAUUGCAACACUGCCAAUAAGAACAAACAAUCGAUUCACAAAAUAUGUCAUCUGUUACUUCUAUUGUCGAUUUGAAACCGUUCAAAACCAGCUGGACGAUCAAGGUGAAGGUUAUUCGAUUGUGGAAACAAACAACUGGUGGUGGUGGUGAGACCAUUGAUAUGGUUUUGUGCGAUGUUAAGGUUUGGAUGUUUUUUUUAAAAAACAUUACCCAUGUACGGUUUCUUUGGAUGUUCAAAAUAUUGAAUCAUGUCCAGUUUAAAAAAUCUCAACUUCAUUGUCUAACCCUGCGCAAGGCGCGGGUCUUAUCCUAGUACAAUAUUAAAAGGGGAUAUGAACUCCUUUUAGAGUGUCCACGUAGGCACAAAAAAUCAACCAAUGAAAAACUGUAUUUUUGCCACGUCACACCUUUGUUUUGUUGACAAAGAAUACAACUAAUUUGGGUUGAACAAAAUUGAAAGUGGCCCUGUAAAGAACAACCCAUCUCUUUCUUGGACAUUUUACCCUUCUACUCUGACUCUUCCAAUUCACUAUGUAACUACCCCUUUCGUGUUUCAAAAAAAAAAAAAAACUACCCCUUUCAUAUUCUUUCUUUCUCUCCCGAGUCAUCUCCUUCUGAAACUCGAUCUGAUCACUGAGAAUCUACGACGACGAAGAAGGUGGAGGAGGAAGAGGAAGAAUGAGAAUCUCAGGCUAUGUAAUCGUUGUUCUAUCUGUAACUUUAUUCUAUUGCGUCGAUCGUAGUGUUCACGCGCUUCCCGUCGUCCUCGUCCUCUCCAACGACGAUCUCAACAGCGGCGGCGACGAUCCCGGAGUCGGAGACUCCUCUAACUUCGACGAAUUCGGCGAAUCCGAACCCAAAUCCGAAGAGGAGCUCGAUCCCGGCUCGUGGCGACGAAACUUUCGAUAGGUUGACGGAGGAAGUGGUGGAGGAGAUAGAGGCGGCUUCUUCAUCCGGAGAUCCGCACUCGCAGUCGCUGAUGAGCUUCGUCUACGGGAUGGGGAUGAAGAGGGAGAAAAGCAAAAGCAAAUCCUUCCUUCACCAUAACUUUGUUGCUGAAGGUGGGAACAUGCAGUCAAAGAUGACACUUGCCUUCACGUAUCUGCGACAAGAUAUGCAUGAUAAGGCUGUGAAACUAUAUGCUAAACUAGCAGAAACCGUUGUGAAUAGCUUCCUGAUCUCAAAGGGACUCUCCCGUGGUGGAACCAACUAGGAUCCACAGCGGGAUUGAAGAAAACAAAGGCGCUCUAAGGAAAUCACGAGGGGAGGAGGAUGAGGAUUUUCAGAUAUUGGAGUAUCAAGCGCAGAAAGGCAAUGCUGUGGCUAUGUACAAGAUUGAACUGUUCUACUACUUUGGUCUGCGAGGGUUAAGGCGUGAUCACACCAAGGCGUUGCACUGGUUUUCGAAGGCGGUGGAGAAAGGAGAGCCGAGGUCUAUGGAGCUAAUUUUGUUUCCUCAUGUAGUCGUAUAAUGUUCAUUUGUAUCUCUAUUUUCGUUACAUGUUCUAUUAAAUUUGAAAUUUCGAGGCAUAAAGUUAAAUGCAAUAAACAUUGUUUCAGUCGGACGCCUCCUCUGCCUUUGGGAUUCACAUAACAUCAAGAAGAAUGAUGAAUUUGUGGGAAUCAGCCUCCUCUUACUAGAUGAACAUGUAUCGACAUCUUCUCUUUCUCUGGAAUAAUAUAUUCAAUCUCUGUCUAAUCAAUACUCAAUAAUCAGUUAACAACUUCACGCUCAAUACUGUGAUCAACCUUAGAACUCCCUGUAUAGCUUUAAAUUAACGUUUGCAUAUUAAAAUUCAACUAAAUCUACUUAUAUUACGUAUUGAUUCGCUGAACAAUUCAUCCACUUCCAGAUGUAGUUGUCCAAAUCCUUUCCGUUCAAGGCUCUGAUCUGAACAACUCUGCAGCAACAACUCGACUUGCCGUCUGUUUCCUCACUGACCCGUAAGCCAUGAAUUCAUCUUUAAAUAGUUUUGAUCCUUAUUUCAUUUAGUUCUUUCUUUCAAAUAAUUCCGUUGUGGUGUAAUGGAAUGGAAUUCACCACGGUGAAUCCAAAAAUAUUUGGAGGUAUGGUUAUCUACUUUAAAGAAUAAAAUAUGUUCAUAGUUAUAUUUUCCUGCCAAAAAAGUAUUUUUCAUACUUAUAUAUUAUAUUUUACUUAAUAACAUCAUCUAAGAAACACUUGGGCUUACGCAGGUAAUCUCUAUGACUCUAUCUAAACUCAACACCAGCAACAAAAUUUUACUUUGACAACACCAUUCAUGCUACCAAAAAGUUUACAAACAGGUAAAUCAAGUCUUACCAGCCAUAUUAAGAUCAUGUCUUGGCCACGCUUAAAUGUGCUAAUCUUUCCCACAUACUGCCUUCACUACAACUCAUAUUUCAAUAUCUGUUAAUCUUUUCGAAACAUACUUCCUCCAUGCAGCUUUGUGGUGCUGCAGCGGAGGUCUUUCCCGAGUUGAUACCAUGGAAGGAAAAAAAAAGAGUUCGUAUCAAUUGGAGAACUUCACACGUUCACUGCCAACUCCAGUGAACAGGUAAAACUCACGCUUUCAACAAUCUUUAGUACUCCUAUGUGGCUUCAAAAUAGUAACAAGUAAUGUUAGGACUUUUCUCCCCAUGAAGACAGAAGAAGCUGAUUUUCUCUGUAAGGCUCAGAUUGUGGGAGUCGUCCAGCAAAAUGGCUUGUCGUUUGUAUCUUGCACAGGUUGUAACAGGAAGCUCGCAAAAUCUCUCUGGUGCAACAGAUGUGUUUCUCCUAACGCACCGAGGUCAUCGGGUAUGUACUGUUCUUCCCGAUCCAUAUUUAAAGGAACACCCUAAUUUGAAUAUAUGUGCACGUUUGACGUACUCUCUCUGCUGUUCUGUGUUAACUAGCUGUUGAUGACGGAAAGGAAAGUGCAACUUUUGUUGUCUUUGACAGGGAGAUGAUCAAACUCAUCAAGAAAGAAGCAAAGUCUGGCUCCUGCAUAGAUACGUUUUAACUUCUUAGAUUGGUUUUAAAAUUUUUUCUCUUACUCUAAAUGCCCCCACAAACGCCAAGCCUACUACAGAUUAGUGGCAGUGGGAGGAAUGGAGCUACCAAAAUGCCUUGAGGAGCUAGCUGGUAAUGGAUACAUUUUCAGCUACGUGUAACUCCAUAUAAUUUCACCUCCAACCACCACACAUUCACCUUCUCUGCCAUUAGUGACAACCUCUUCUUUGGCCCUCAGGUAGAGGUGUGGUAAUCUACGUUUCACACUCUUUGUUCUGAUUUAAUGUCCCACUGUUUUGUAGAGUGGCAACAGGAACAAAGCUCCAGUCGUGGAUCUCAAAUCUGGACAACCAAUAGCAUUUUCCAGCUCCGCUGGUGAUGCGGCGAAGAUAGCACUAGGAAAUGAUGGAGCAAAUCAGCCAGGUUCUGCAGACUGCAGGCAACGACAAAACCCGCAAACGCCCACGUGAGUGAUAGUAUCAAGGCUAUCAAACCGUCAACUCCACUUAGCUUUUGUCUCAUUUUAAUUUAUUAUAUCCAUAUAUUUUCCCUACUUUGAAUUUUGGUUCUUUGGAUUUUCUGAAAAUUUCUCUUAAAGAAUUAAAUAAUUAAAGUAAUGUUGACGUGUCUU
Brassica napus (rape) is the source of this 3797-nucleotide long non-coding RNA. RefSeq lists it as uncharacterized. NCBI's taxonomy places the organism in Eukaryota, Viridiplantae, Streptophyta, Magnoliopsida, Brassicales, Brassicaceae. The transcript has 2 exons. The record is from RefSeq and is a predicted model, not a curated record.